RNAcentral lists this ribosomal RNA (491 nucleotides) under uncultured Asaccharospora sp. RNAcentral's name for it is "bacterial SSU rRNA". It matches the Rfam family "Bacterial small subunit ribosomal RNA", at positions 340 to 852 of the family's 1533-position model. The record is from RNAcentral. Lineage: Bacteria; Bacillati; Bacillota; Clostridia; Peptostreptococcales; Peptostreptococcaceae.
UACGGGAGGCAGCAGUGGGGAAUAUUGCACAAUGGGCGAAAGCCUGAUGCAGCAACGCCGCGUGAGCGAUGAAGGCCUUCGGGUCGUAAAGCUCUGUCCUCAAGGAAGAUAAUGACGGUACUUGAGGAGGAAGCCCCGGCUAACUACGUGCCAGCAGCCGCGGUAAUACGUAGGGGGCUAGCGUUAUCCGGAUUUACUGGGCGUAAAGGGUGCGUAGGCGGUCUUUCAAGUCAGGAAUGAAAGGCUACGGCUCAACCGUAGUAAGCUCUUGAAACUGGGAGACUUGAGUGCAGGAGAGGAGAGUGGAAUUCCUAGUGUAGCGGUGAAAUGCGUAGAUAUUAGGAGGAACACCAGUAGCGAAGGCGCUCUCUGGACUGUAACUGACGCUGAGGCACGAAAGCUUGGGGAGCGAACAGGAUUAGAUACCCUGGUAGUCCACGCCGUAAACGAUGAGUACUAGGUGUCGGGGGUUACCCCCUCGGUGCCGCAGC